This 483-nucleotide ribosomal RNA is filed under the name uncultured bacterium. Its description in RNAcentral is "bacterial SSU rRNA". It matches the Rfam family "Bacterial small subunit ribosomal RNA", at positions 30 to 509 of the family's 1533-position model. The record is from RNAcentral.
AUUGAACGCUGGCGGCAUGCCUUACACAUGCAAGUCGAACGGUAACAGGUCUUCGGAUGCUGACGAGUGGCGAACGGGUGAGUAAUAUAUCGGAACGUGCCCAGUCGUGGGGGAUAACGCAGCGAAAGCUGUGCUAAUACCGCAUACGAUCUAUGGAUGAAAGCGGGGGAUCGCAAGACCUCGCGCGAUUGGAGCGGCCGAUAUCAGAUUAGGUAGUUGGUGGGGUAAAGGCCCACCAAGCCAACGAUCUGUAGCUGGUCUGAGAGGACGACCAGCCACACUGGAACUGAGACACGGUCCAGACUCCUACGGGAGGCAGCAGUGGGGAAUUUUGGACAAUGGCGCAAGCCUGAUCCAGCAAUGCCGCGUGCAGGAUGAAGGCCUUCGGGUUGUAAACUGCUUUUGUACGGAACGAAAAGGCUCUGGUUAAUACCUGGGGCUCAUGACGGUACCGUAAGAAUAAGCACCGGCUAACUACGUGCC